GAUGAACGCUGGCGGCGUGCCUAAUACAUGCAAGUCGAGCGAACAGACGAGGAGCUUGCUCCUCUGACGUUAGCGGCGGACGGGUGAGUAACACGUGGAUAACCUACCUAUAAGACUGGGAUAACUUCGGGAAACCGGAGCUAAUACCGGAUAAUAUAUUGAACCGCAUGGUUCAAUAGUGAAAGACGGUUUUGCUGUCACGUAUAGAUGGAUCCGCGCCGCAUUAGCUAGUUGGUAAGGUAACGGCUUACCAAGGCGACGAUGCGUAGCCGACCUGAGAGGGUGAUCGACCAGACUGGAACUGAGACACGGUCCAGACUCCGACGGGAGGCAGCAGUAGGGAAUCUUCCGCAAUGGGCGAAAGCCUGACGGAGCAACGCCGCGUGAGUGAUGAAGGUCUUCGGAUCGUAAAACUCUGUUAUUAGGGAAGAACAAAUGUGUAAGUAACUAUGCACGUCUUGACGGUACCUAAUCAGAAAGCCACGGCUAACUACGUG
RNAcentral lists this ribosomal RNA (497 nucleotides) under uncultured bacterium. Its description in RNAcentral is "partial 16S ribosomal RNA". It matches the Rfam family "Bacterial small subunit ribosomal RNA", at positions 28 to 507 of the family's 1533-position model. The record is from RNAcentral.